RNAcentral lists this transfer RNA (73 nucleotides) under Nocardioides jejuensis. It matches the Rfam family "tRNA". Rfam says of the family: Transfer RNA (tRNA) molecules are approximately 80 nucleotides in length. Lineage: Bacteria; Bacillati; Actinomycetota; Actinomycetes; Propionibacteriales; Nocardioidaceae. The record is from Rfam by way of RNAcentral.
GCCUUCGUAGCUCAGGGGAUAGAGCACCGGUUUCCGGUACCGGGUGCCGCAGGUUCGAAUCCUGCCGAGGGCA